UACGGGGGGGGCAAGCGUUGUUCGGAAUUACUGGGCGUAAAGGGCUCGUAGGCGGCCAACUAAGUCAGACGUGAAAUCCCUCGGCUUAACCGGGGAACUGCAUCUGAUACUGGAUGGCUUGAGUUCGGGAGAGGGAUGCGGAAUUCCAGGUGUAGCGGUGAAAUGCGUAGAUAUCAGGAGGAACACCAGUGGCGAAGGCGGCUUUCUGGACGGUAACUGACGCUGAGACGCGAAAGCGUGGGGAGCAAACAGG
This 253-nucleotide ribosomal RNA is filed under the name uncultured bacterium. RNAcentral describes it as "partial 16S ribosomal RNA". It matches the Rfam family "Bacterial small subunit ribosomal RNA", at positions 524 to 776 of the family's 1533-position model. The record is from RNAcentral.